Molecule: ribosomal RNA, 630 nt
Filed under: Triticum aestivum (bread wheat)
Lineage: Eukaryota; Viridiplantae; Streptophyta; Magnoliopsida; Poales; Poaceae
Description: partial small subunit ribosomal RNA
Source: RNAcentral
AUGGAUGAGUAUACAAUCUUCCAUCUCAACUUUGUGAGCAUAUUAGAGGAGGUAGCUGAACAUUUCCAUUUGGAGCCGCCGGUAGUGUCGACAGUGAAGCGUUUUGAGGGCGAUGGGUACCAAGGUGCAGUACAUUUGCAGCUCACCUCAGAUGAUGAUAAUUCUUAUAAGACCAUCUAUGGGUAUGGUGAAGAUGCUAAAGAUGCUGGCAACCUUGCUGCACGGGAAGCACUCAAGUUUCUUCAUUUUUCUGUUAACUUUGCUUUGGUGGACCUGCAUAUGUAUGAGUACUGGGAGGUACUACUAACUCUAGUGCAGAAGGAGCAGCAACACCACAUAGAGAUGACACAACUAAACCAGUUUCAUGAGGCUUGCCGGCAGCAUGAGUUAGAGUAUCUUGAGCAAGAACAUGAUGACUGUGUUUAUGAGAUCAAGCAUGACCUCAACCUCCAGAUAGAGGACAGGGAUCGUUGGCUUGAAAUAGAAGAACACAAGAGUAAGAAACUGAAGUUGGAGCGUGAUCAGUUGGAGGAGUUGACCAACAAGCAGGAGAGUAAAAUCAUGGAGCUAAUGAUAGAGAACAGAAGCCUCCGUGAGAAGCUGGCGGAAAAGCUACAGGCGCAUGAAUAG